This 6412-nucleotide long non-coding RNA is filed under the name Sus scrofa (pig). RNAcentral describes it as "lncRNA (ENSSSCG00025066250.1)". The record is from RNAcentral. Lineage: Eukaryota; Metazoa; Chordata; Mammalia; Artiodactyla; Suidae.
UCUACCGUCUAUGCUGUUUUUGCCAACUUUUCUCUUUCAUGAUGUUUUUGAAAACUUAAAACCAAUCAUCAUUCCUAUUUUUUAUGCAGUCAGUGUUUUGUUAAUUUUAUUUUAUAGGCUCUACAAUUUACUAGGUCAUUCCUUCCAGCGUCUCACUCCUACAGUCUGGGCAUAUUUUCCUUUUUCCCUAGGUAUAGGCUUUCCUUGUUAUUAGCAGGCAUAUAUGAGUGGUAGUUUCUCUUGCUUGUUUUCUAAACGGAGAUGUUUCUAAAUAUGUUUGUAUUUCAUCUCUGCUAGUGGAUGAUCAUUUACAGAGAUGUAAAUCUCCAGAAUGUCACUAUUUCCCUUGAGAACUUACAUGUGCAUUUUUUCUACUUCUUCUGAAGAGCAUUCUUGGAGCAUAUAUUCCAUCAUUGUAGUUUAUGGGUCAGCACGGUUUCCUUAAAGGGACCAAAAGUGAAUAUUUUAGGUUUUGCGGGUCUUACAAGUCCUGUCACAACUACUCAACCCUGCCUUCAUUGCACAAAAGCAACCAUCAAAAAAUGUUUAUUCACAAACACAGGCUAUAGGUUUGCUGACCCCUAACUGUUGCUGUGUUUUGUUUUGUUCUUUUAUAUUUUAUUCAUCCCUUGCCACUACUUAUUAAGAUUUUCACUUGGCACAUAGAGUGAUAAAUAUUAGAUAGUUGAGAGUCGUGCAGUGGACUCACAAGAGCCCAGCCGGGUGAGAGAAAUGAGACUUUGCCUCCUGCACUGGCAUGCUGGCUCUGACGUGACAAGAGAGUUGAGGGCUGAUGACCAAGGUCCGUUGGAAGGAAGUGGUGUCGUUGGGACAGAGUCGACAGUUGCCUGCAAUCAGAACCUUGAUUUCUCUCCCCAGACCAAGGAUAGAGAUGCUGACUUGGGUGAGGGGGUUGGUAGCAAUGAUGAGCAAUGGUCUGAAUUUAAAUCUAAAAUGACGGGGAAAAGCUAGAACCUGCCAAGAUUUUAUAGUCUGGCAUGACACUGAUUAGGAACUUAAAAAUGGUGUCGGAGAAAUAGCAGAAAAAGAAAUCAGUUAAAAUUUCGAUCCCAACGUUAGUAGCUUAAAAAUCUAAGUUAUUGCUAGAGUCCCCUGGCAGCUCAAUGGGUUAGGGAUCCGAUGUUGUCAGCGCUUUAUCUCGGGAGUGAUCCCUGGCCUGGGAACUUCUGCAUGCCUUGGGUGUGGCCCAAAAUACAUUAUUUCUGAUAGUUCUGAUGAGAGGUUUAACUGUUUCAUACAAGUGGAUGUGUUUGCAUAUGGAACCUACUUCAAAUAAUGUAUCUUCUGUUCAAACAUAUUAAACCUCUCUUCUGGUUUCUUUAUCCAUAAUAGAGGCAAUAUGAUCUAUUUUAAAAUUAUUAAUUUUAGAGUAGGAAGUAUUAUAUCUGAACCCUAACACCAACAUGCAUUGUUAGAUCAUCCAUUCCUCAUAAGUUCAUUCAGUCAAAAAUGAAUCUUAGGAUCUAGUGCAAAUUGUAGCCCCAGCUCCGAGGUAAACAAUGGCUGCAGCGGUACAUUAGGGAACAAACUGCUUCCCUGAAACUUACUUAAUGACUAUGGGAGAGGGAGAAGGACUUCAGAAAUUACACAGAAAGCCAGUUGAUGGCUUUAAAGGAAACAAUCAAGUUGCUAUGGAAAUAUCUGGGACAAAACCUCCCUUAAGUGGUUUAGGGAUUUCAAGGAUGUGGCAUCUAAGCUGGUUUUGAAAGGUCAUUAAAAUUGAUUCAUAUAAAGAUGGAGGGACAAUACACAAAAUAGAUGAACCUGACUAGUAUCCAAGAGGAGGGGUGCUCAAUUCCUGGCCUGACUCAGUGGGUUGGGGAUCUGGUGUUGCCAUCAGCUGGGGUGUAGGUUGCAAAUGUGGCUUGGAUCCUGCAUUGCUAUGGCGGUGGUGUAGGCUGGUGGCUGUAGCUCUGAUUCAACUCCUAGCCUGGGAACUUCCAUAUGCCAUGGGUGAGGUCAUACAAAAACCAAAAAUAAAUAAAUACAUGAAAAUUAAAUCCUUGAAAUUUUGAUUCCUCUUUUUUUUUUUUUUUUUUUUAACAUGAGCUGACCCUAUUGAAUGCACAUUUUCUGAUUGGACCUUGUGGUACAAUGAUAAGAGCUCACUGCAGGGGGCGCAGUUAGAGGCAAGGAGAAAGGAAUUUUGAGCUUCCUCAUUGGGACGAGGAGAAAGCCAUUGUGGUACAAUCCAAGCCAAGCACUAGCCCCUUUCUCACUGCAAUGAAGAGCUCAGAGACUUGACGAGGACGGUGGAUUUAGAGAUUUGCUUGUUAGACCUGGAGCAAAGCCCAUGGACUGGCUAGGUUGCCUGCAAUUCACAUUGUGUCUAAAUCAGUAAGAUCAGGGAAGUAAUAGGACCUGCGCAGGAUGUUAGUUACCCACUUUUAAGGGAUUACUGUACAUAUGCAGGUGAUAUUUGAAAGUGGGAUUAAGCAAAUUAAUGCACAAUUCAACCGCUGAGCAGAUGCACUCUUUCGUCAUUGGAGUACAUAGUUUAAUACACUAUGUCAUGAAACAUUAAUGUUAUGACAUUCAUUUAAAUUGACUUAGAUACACAUUCUAAUAGGAGCAAAAACCCGUAAAUGUUCUUACUAAAUCACGCCUUGCUCUGGGCAGAGCCGUUGACAGGUGCGGCCCUCGUUUUGAUCUUAUUUCACACCUUCGUGAGUGACCCCGAGCAGGGAGUCAACAGCAGGGUGAAAUUCGGAGAACAUUGUGAACCAGCACAAACACUCAGUGACCGGGGUGCCUGGUACUCAAGGUCUUUGAUGAGAAAAACACGAGAUGAGUCAGCCUGCAGAUGUGUGCAUAGUAUAUUCAGUCAAAAAGGUACCAAAAGGACGAAGGCAAGGAAGCCAGAGACACCCGCAGCCCCAAACACUGUUAAUUAGGUAAGGGCAUAGGUGAGUGUGUAAGAAUCCUGCACUCUCUCUAACAAGCUACAAACUGUGUUGAAAACACACGGCCUCUAAGGCGGGAUCUUGGAACACACUCUCUUCUCUCAAGUCCACCAGCCUUCCAGAGUCCAUUGCCCUGGGCAGAAACAGAGUUCUCAGUUUUUAGCCACUGAGCAGGGUCCUUUUUGCACAGUAACGAAACAGACCAAAGUGGGUUCUGUUUCCUCCAUGGCUCACCACUGGCCCACACUAUCGCCUUUAUCCUAAAUAGAGAACUUACGUGGAAGAGUGUUUAUUUCUGGACUCUUAAUUUCUUUGGUUUAUGAUUCAUUCUUGGGUCAACAGGGCACUUAAUCAUUAUCAUCUUAAAAUAAGACAAUAGAUUGUGAACUAGUCCUCUGUUUUUUGUGUGAAUUUUAACUAGUCCUAAUCCUUUAGAUUUCCAGAUAGAUUUUAGAAUUAGUUUGUAACGUCCUCACAUAAGAAGAAAAUUGCUGAUGGCAUCACAUACAUAAAUCCAUUUAGAGAGAAUACACAUUUUUAUAGUAUUGAAUCUUACAACCAAUGAAGCGUGAUAUCUACAUUAGGUCCUAUUUAAUUGCUGUCAAUAUAAUUUUGUUUUUUAGAAUGAAAUCUUGUACAGUUUUCAUAGACUCCUUCAUUUACAGGAGAAGUUUUUUUUUGUUUGUUUUUAUGGCCACACCCGGGAUAUGGAAGUUCCCAGGCUAGGGGCCAAAUCAGAGCUGCAGCUGCCAGCCUACACCACAGCCACAGCAACACAGGAUCCAAGCCACAUCUGUGAGCUAUACCACAGCUCACGGCAACACCAGAUCCUUAACACACAGUGAGGCCAGGGAUAGCACCUGCAGCCUUAUUGGUACUAGUCAGCUUCGUUUUCCACUGCGCCAAAAGGGAACUGACAUUAGAAGAUUUUGAAGUUACUGUUAAUAGCAUCACUUAAAAUUUUCAGUUUCUAUUAUUUUUUGCCAAUAUCUGGGUAUAAACUUGACUUUUGAAUACAGAGUUUAUAUAUAAUAUCCUGCUAAGUCUAUAUGUGUACAUAUAUAAUUUUUCCUUUGAGAAGGUAGAUCUAUUUUAAAUCUCUUAAGCUAAUUAAAAUAAAGAAGAAAUAUUUUAUGGAUGUUUUGGAAAUUCACUAAUAGAACAUUUGUAUCAGUAGGAAACACAGGAAAAGAAGAAGUUCCUUCAAAUGUAAUUUAUAGAAGUAUGGAAUAAUUUUCCUAUAGCUACCAUGAAAGUUUUUUUAUGAUCAGGUAAUAGUUUUAAGCAUUAAACAACAACAAAAAAACCUUAAAGAAAAGCACAAUUCCCCCAAAUUUACCAAUAGGUAAUAUUUAGCCACAUUUUUUUUUUUUUUUGAUGAGGAGAGAGUUAUUUUUGACAGAGUUGUUGAAAAAUAGUUUCUUUGAAGAUGCCAAGAUCAAAUUCCUCAACCUAAUUAGCCCCAUAAUAGUUUUCACAUCUAAGGAAACCAGUAUUAUUGAAAUAACAUCAUCAAAGAUAGUUGUAUGUGUUCUUAAAAUGUAUUACAGCUUUUUUUUUUUUUUAACCCAAUACCCAGUCAUCAUUCAUUCAUUUGGUUUAUGUAUGUCUUUACACGUACUUCUAAACCUGAAAUGGUUUACCACAAUGAUUCCGUUUUUCGCUUUUUGGGUUUUUUUCUGGCAUAUUUGAAAAGCGUACAGACAUGUUUUUCUAUAGAAUAUUCUGUUUUAGAUGUGUGUAUUAGAUGCAAGUUACGUAUAUUUGGAAAGAACUAAAUAGCGAUGCUAUUGAUGAUAUCACGUGCUUCCUGUCCAAGCCACCAGGAGGCAACUGUAUUAAGCCACAUGUGGUGAAAGGCGCAUGCGGAUUCUUUUGUCUGUCUAUAAAAGUGUCUUCUGAAAAAUAAGACGGCAUUGUUGCAAUUCCAAUCCUGCUGUGUUUAUUCAUUUUCUUGUCUUAGUUUAUUUAAGCCCUCCCAGUACAGAGCUGAAAACAAAUAAGUAUAGGGAGCAUUCUUGCAUUCUCAACUGAGAUAUGUUUCAACCUUAGAGCUGUGCUUACUGCUCUUUUCUGUGUAUGUUUUUUCAGAUUAAGAAUUCCUUUCCACAAUCCUCCUUUGGAAGGGGCUUUUAUGAACAUGUCUAUUGAGAUAAUAUAUUGUUCAUUUUCCUUCUUUUGUUUCCUUAAUAUCCUAAUGUUAAACUAGCCUUAGGUUCUUAAACUAUGCUUGAUUAAGUUGCAGUAUUCUUUGCAUAUAUUGUUCUAAAAUAUUCAUUUGUUAUUUUUAUUAUUUGUUGAUUUUUUUUUUUUCAUUCUCACCCAAGUCCGUAGAAGAGUUGGAACCGGAUGCAUUGUUUCCUGUUGGAUUCUUGUCUGGUUUUGCUGUCAAGUUCUAAUAUCCUUGGACUAUGAAUUGAAGUAUCUCCCCCUUUUUCUAGUUUCUGAAAAGAUUUUUCUAAAACUAGUGUUAUUUCUUUCUUAAAUUUUAGUAACAUUCCUUUGUGUCUUUAAUUUUCCUUAAGGAAAGCUUUUUGGCUAUGAUUGAAUUUUAAUACUUUCUUUUUGUUAAAAAUGAAUGCAGAUUUCCCAUUUAUAUUUUUGUGUGCUUCCAAUGAGCGUUUUUCUGGGAAUUUAUUUCAUCUAAACUUUCGAGUUUAUAGAUAUGAGGUUCCUCACCAUCUCCGCUUCUAUUUUUUUAAAGUGUUUUUAGGUUCUGCGGUGAGGAACUCUUUUUAAUGUUUCACAUUGCUUGCUUCUGCCUUUCUUUUCCGUCUCUCUCCCAGGGUCCCGCUUUUCAUGCUCUAUGAUUGUCAAGUGUUAUCAAUUUUAUUAGUCACUUCAAAGAAUUAACUGUUACAUUUAUUGAUACAUUUAUUACGUAUUGGUUUUCUGUUUCAUUAUUAGUUUUCUUAUCCUAGUUAUUAGCCUUCAAUUUAUGAAUGUCAAAAAAUAAAACAGGAAGCACAAUCAAAUUUAGAUUCAGAAAAUAAAUUUUUAAAGCAUUAAGUCUAUCCCCUGCAAUAGAUGAGAACUGCUUAACCUGGAAGUUACUGGCUGUUAAUCUGAAACUCACAUUUACCUGAUUGUCCUAUAUUUUAUUCGGAAGCCUUCUCCUUCUACUUCCUUUGAGUUAAUGUCCUAUCCAUUUAUUUUUUAUUUCUCAAAGGAGAUAUUUAGAUUAUUCUUUUUGGAUUUUGUUCUGUUACAUCUGCAUUUAAGGCUGUAAAUUCCACCUCAAUGUGGUUUAUCAGGAAGCAUCCAUUUUUCACAUCCUCUAAUUUCAUUACCAUCGAGUCUAAUGCAUUUUCUAACUUACUUAGUGAAUAUGUUCACAAAAAGAUUGGCGAAAGCACAUUCGUCACAGCCCUAGGGAAGCACUCAAGCAUCCAUUCAACAGUAGAAUAGAAAAAUAUUUGUUGUUAUACCUGCAACAUUAAAGGAGACUUUUAAAAGAACAAACUACUGAUACCUGCCACAACCUGGAC